Molecule: ribosomal RNA, 509 nt
Filed under: uncultured bacterium
Lineage: Bacteria
Description: bacterial SSU rRNA
Rfam family: Bacterial small subunit ribosomal RNA
Source: RNAcentral
AAUGCCGCGUGCAGGAGGAAGCCCUUCGGGGUGUAAACUGCUGUCAGGGGUUAGCAAGCAGAGGGUGCGAAUAGCGCCCCGCGUUGAGCCGCCCAGAGGAAGCCUCGACUAACUCUGUGCCAGCAGUCGCGGUAAUACAGAGGAGGCAAGCGUUGUUCGGAAUCACUGGGCUUAAAGCGGGUGUAGGCGGCCACGAAAGUGUUUUGUGAAAUCCCACGGCUCAACCGUGGAAUUGCAGGGCAAACUACGUGGCUUGAGGCCGGUAGAGGUGCCUGGAACUCUAGGUGGAGCGGUGAAAUGCGUAGAUAUCUAGAGGAACGCCGGAGGCGAAAGCGGGGCACUGGGCCGGUUCUGACGCUGAGACCCGAAAGCGUGGGGAGCAAACAGGAUUAGAUACCCUGGUAGUCCACGCCGUAAACAAUGCACACUAGACGUCGGAGGUACUGACACCGUCGGCGUCGGAGCAAAAGUGCUAAGUGUGCCGCCUGGGGAGUACGGCCGCAAGGCUA